RNAcentral lists this ribosomal RNA (464 nucleotides) under uncultured bacterium. Its description in RNAcentral is "partial 16S ribosomal RNA". It matches the Rfam family "Bacterial small subunit ribosomal RNA", at positions 29 to 507 of the family's 1533-position model. The record is from RNAcentral.
ACGAACGCUGGCGGCGUGCUUAACACAUGCAAGUCGAACGGAAAGGCCCUGCUUGCAGGGUACUCGAGCGGCGAACGGGUGAGUAACACGUGGGUGAUCUGCCCUGCACUUCGGGAUAAGCUUGGGAAACUGGGUCUAAUACCGGAUAGGAGCCAUCUUUAGUGUGGUGGUUGGAAAGUUUUUUCGGUGUAGGAUGAGCUCGCGGCCUAUCAGCUUGUUGGUGGGGUAAUGGCCUACCAAGGCGGCGACGGGUAGCCGGCCUGAGAGGGUGUACGGCCACAUUGGGACUGAGAUACGGCCCAGACUCCUACGGGAGGCAGCAGUGGGGAAUAUUGCACAAUGGGCGCAAGCCUGAUGCAGCGACGCCGCGUGGGGGAUGAAGGCCUUCGGGUUGUAAACUCCUUUCGCUAGGGACGAAGCUUUGUGUGACGGUACCUAGAUAAGAAGCACCGGCUAACUACGUG